RNAcentral lists this ribosomal RNA (402 nucleotides) under uncultured Mediophyceae. RNAcentral's name for it is "partial small subunit ribosomal RNA". It matches the Rfam family "Eukaryotic small subunit ribosomal RNA", at positions 30 to 432 of the family's 1831-position model. Lineage: Eukaryota; Bacillariophyta; Thalassiosirophyceae. The record is from RNAcentral.
GCUUGUCUCAAAGAUUAAGCCAUGCAUGUCUAAGUAUAACUCUUUUACUUUGAAAACUGCGAACGGCUCAUUAUAUCAGUUAUAGUUUCUUUGAUAGUCCCUUACUACUUGGAUACCCGUAGUAAUUCUAGAGCUAAUACAUGCAUCAAUACCCAACUGUUCGCGGAAGGGUAGUAUUUAUUAGGUAUAGACCAACCCUCUUCGGAGGUGCUUUGGUGAUUCAUAAUAACUUUUCGAAUCGCAUGGCUCCAUGCCGGCGAUGGUUCAUUCAAAUUUCUGCCCUAUCAGCUUUCGAUGGUAGGAUCGAGGCCUACCAUGGCGUUUACGGGUAACGGAGAAUUAGGGUUCGAUUCCGGAGAGGGAGCCUGAGAGAUGGCUACCACAUCCAAGGAAGGCAGCAGG